Molecule: non-coding RNA, 57 nt
Organism: Dipodomys ordii (Ord's kangaroo rat)
Lineage: Eukaryota; Metazoa; Chordata; Mammalia; Rodentia; Heteromyidae
Source: Rfam
GGCUCAGUGGUAGAGCACUUGCCUUGCAUGCAUGAGGCCCUGGGUUCGAUUCCUCAG